RNAcentral lists this long non-coding RNA (1197 nucleotides) under Gadus morhua (Atlantic cod). Its description in RNAcentral is "lncRNA (ENSGMOG00000025947.1)". Lineage: Eukaryota; Metazoa; Chordata; Actinopteri; Gadiformes; Gadidae. The record is from RNAcentral.
UAUCUACUCCCACAUUUCCACUGCAGGGUGCGGAACGGAUCGGAUCGCAAAGGUGCGGUAGGGAGGGGGCGGUAUAGCCCAGCUCAGUUCCGAGGUCGCGUUUCCACUGCCGACAGUACCCUUUUGUGGUAGGCCGGAUGUCGAUCGCCACGGCAGCCAGGUAAACAUCGUGACAUCAUAGCAGCGCGACACAGUGUAGCCUGCUCAAUAAAACCAAUGUAAAAGUUGAACGCGACACAUUAAACCAAGAGCUACCAUUGAAGUCGUCCAGCAACAGUUCCUGGCCUUUAUUCUUUUCACAUGGCAGUUAAUCAACUUCCGAAUGCAAGCUUUGUUUGACGAAAGUUUGGAGGCUGAAAGGACAAGGACAAGAGCAGCCGAAAAAAAUAAGAUUUUUUUGGAGCUGAUUCAGGAUGCAACCGAUAAAAGCCGCCUAUUGACCAGACAAAGGCGACGACGCAUACGGAUGCUUCAGCAGUUGCACAUUCACAGCCGCAGGCCAACAGUUUGGUCUUUCAGCCGAGCCAGUACCUGGUGGGAAUCGAUUGUUCCAGAAUUCACCAACAGACAGUGGGUGGAUAACUUCAGGAUGUCAGAAGAAACAUUCAUGUACCUCUGCAACAAGAUGCGUCCAGCGCUGCAGAGGCAGGACACAAACUUUCACCUGUGCCUCACAUUGGCUUCCUGUAGGUCAGAGAAUUGAUUUUAAAAUCAUGUUGCUAACCUAUAAAUCCCUACAUGGUUUAGGCCCAAAAUAUUUAACUGAUAUGCUUCCACUAUAUCAGCCUUCUAGACCACUAAGAUCCUCUGAGACCAAUCUGUUAAUUAUCCCCAGAGUAAACACAAAACAUGGGAAAGCAGGAUUUAGUUACUAUGCAACAAAUAGCUGGAAUAAACUCCCAGAGGAUUUAAGACUUGCCCCAACUCUGAGCACCUUUAAAACAAGACUGAAGACUUUUAUGUUUGCUAUAGCUUUCUGCUAAAAUCUUAAAUACAUUGCACUGUCUAAAAAGCUUUUAUAACUUUGCCUUUAUUUUCUAUUUUAAUACUAAAAUGCCUUUUUCUAUUUUAACCAUUUCUUUGCAUAUGUUUUUCUAUUAUUUUAUUUUAUUGUAUGACAAUGUUUAUAUGUGAAGCACUUUGAGUCUGCCUUGUGUAUGAAAAGUGCUAUAUAAAUAAAGUUGCCUUGCCUUGCCU